UCAUGCAGAGAAGCAGAAAACUUGCUUACUAUGCUAAUAAUCUGAAAGUCAGAUCUCUCCUAGAUCCCAUUUAAGUGCUGACUGCCACUGAGUAAGGAUGUCUUUCUGGAGAUUGCUCCUUUUGGAGUUUACUAUGAGCCUACAACACUGAUAAAUGUGGAAGAAUAAGCAUAUUUCCCUUCCCAUCAAGAAGAAGAAGAAGAUUUGGUUCAUGAUGAAGGUAUUGGAACAUCUUUGAAAAACUUGCUCUAGCUUGGCAGAACAUACAAACCCAGAAAAAAAAACAAUGCUUAAAUCUUGGAUGCUUGUGGCUGAGAGAAGCUUUUCCUAGGACACAGUCAUAUCCCUCCUAAUGCUCAUUCAGAACAGGAGAGGAGGACAUUUGGGCAAUUGUAUCAAGAGGAGCACAUGGAGGCAUCAGGUUUUAUGGCCCACAGGACACCUUCAGCUAAACACACUGCCAAAAUUGUCUCGAACAGCAAAUGAAAGGGAGAGGAUGGGAAGCAGCUGUUUCUACUCUCUGUAGCAAUUGAUUGUAAACUGGCCUGACACUUCACCCAAAGAGUUUGCCAUGGACAUUUGAUUCAGCAAAUCUGCCUCAAACCCAGAGCUGAGGCACUGCUAUCUCAGUCCUUCACCAAAGUGACCAACCACCAGAUGUUCAGGACUAUUAAAAACAAACAGCCAAUCAAUAGCAUAUUUCAGAUUGACAGCAACACAUUCAUUUCACCACCGGAAAGAAUCUAAACACUUAAGUAAGUGUGUAGGGUAAUGACACCCCACAUUGGCUGCCCAGGGGGUUGGCUCUAGACCUUCAUGUAUCAGGCUUCAAGCAGAGGUGAAAAGAAAAUAAAAAUCUGUCUCCUCCAUAAGAUAUUCCCCUUUAGAAUAACUCUGUUCUCUAUGUGGAGCUGCCACGUCUGCUCAGGUAUGGCACAAGACAGGUAUAGCAGAUGCCACACACAAACUGCAGGGCAUGUGCUCAACUAAAUGAAAGGAGAAAACAAAGAGAAAAAAAAAGUAAGUUAAAAUUUAACUAACAUUUGGGUUUAAAACUGUACUCAAUCAUUGUAAUUUGGUUUGACUGAAGGUGCAGGUCUUAAAAUGAGAUAAAAGUAGGAUCUAGUGUUAGAUUUGAAACAUAAGGAAUUAAACAGAAAAAUAUGUUUAAAUGCAAAUAAUGAUUUUAAGGUGUAACAAUGAAGAUGUAAAGAGACAUCACUUCAGUUUGUCAGAAAAAUUGUAAUAAAAGUCAUACUUCCAUAAGGAGAACAUAAAUAAGUAAAUUAGUUUUCCCUUCUGAAAAAAAAACUAAGAACAGCAUGUCCGGAUUUUGAAGGAUGAGGAAAAAGUGAAACAGCUGAUGAUAAUACAAAAUACAGCACAAAGAGAAAAAUAGUAAAGGAAUGUAUUAUAAAAUGCAUUGCCAGAAGUUGCAUAACGAAUGCUGGUAUGAACAAACAGAGCUGGAAAUGCACUCCUGCUUUCCAAGAAACUUCCAGUGAGUCAGGACUGCAACAUGACAGAAAAGGAGGACUGCCUUUUCCCUCUGAAGCAGUGAGCAUUGGGAACUUUCUGUACCCUGAGAAGCACAUGUGCUCCAACAGCAUUUCAAACAAGCUCAUGUUUCGGUCAUUUUCUGUCAUCUCCAUGGAACUGAGCAAAACACUUUAACAAGAGAAAUAAAUAAUAUGUUAAGUAGAGUCUGGAAGUAUACUUAUU
Centrocercus urophasianus (Greater sage-grouse) is the source of this 1722-nucleotide long non-coding RNA. RefSeq lists it as uncharacterized. Lineage: Eukaryota; Metazoa; Chordata; Aves; Galliformes; Phasianidae. The record is from RefSeq and is a predicted model, not a curated record. The transcript has 3 exons.